This 565-nucleotide ribosomal RNA is filed under the name Streptomyces hypolithicus. Its description in RNAcentral is "bacterial SSU rRNA". It matches the Rfam family "Bacterial small subunit ribosomal RNA", at positions 243 to 807 of the family's 1533-position model. Lineage: Bacteria; Bacillati; Actinomycetota; Actinomycetes; Kitasatosporales; Streptomycetaceae. The record is from RNAcentral.
AGCUUGUUGGUGGGGUAAUGGCCUACCAAGGCGACGACGGGUAGCCGGCCUGAGAGGGCGACCGGCCACACUGGGACUGAGACACGGCCCAGACUCCUACGGGAGGCAGCAGUGGGGAAUAUUGCACAAUGGGCGAAAGCCUGAUGCAGCGACGCCGCGUGAGGGAUGACGGCCUUCGGUUGUAAACCUCUUUCAGCAGGGAAGAAGCGACUGGGUUUUCCCGGACGUGACGGUACCUGCAGAAGAAGCGCCGGCUAACUACGUGCCAGCAGCCGCGGUAAUACGUAGGGCGCAAGCGUUGUCCGGAAUUAUUGGGCGUAAAGAGCUCGUAGGCGGCUUGUCACGUCGGAUGUGAAAGCCCGGGGCUUAACCCCGGGUCUGCAUUCGAUACGGGCAGGCUAGAGUGUGGUAGGGGAGAUCGGAAUUCCUGGUGUAGCGGUGAAAUGCGCAGAUAUCAGGAGGAACACCGGUGGCGAAGGCGGAUCUCUGGGCCAUUACUGACGCUGAGGAGCGAAAGCGUGGGGAGCGAACAGGAUUAGAUACCCUGGUAGUCCACGCCGUAAAC